RNAcentral lists this ribosomal RNA (541 nucleotides) under uncultured bacterium. Its description in RNAcentral is "bacterial SSU rRNA". It matches the Rfam family "Bacterial small subunit ribosomal RNA", at positions 28 to 526 of the family's 1533-position model. The record is from RNAcentral.
GACGAACGCUGGCGGCGUGCCUAAUACAUGCAAGUCGAACGCGUCUACGUUAAUGAAAUCAAUGUGCUUGCACGGCGAUGGAUUUAACAUUAGACGAGUGGCGAACUGGUGAGUAACACGUGGGUAACCUGCCCUCAAGCAGGGGAUAACACUUGGAAACAGGUGCUAAUACCGCAUAAUUCCUUUUACCGCAUGGUAAAAGGCUGAAAGGCGCUUCUGGUGUCACUGAUGGAUGGACCCGCGGUGCAUUAGCUAGUCGGUGGGGUAACGGCCUACCGAGGCGAUGAUGCAUAGCCGACCUGAGAGGGUGAUCGGCCACAUUGGGACUGAGACACGGCCCAAACUCCUACGGGAGGCAGCAGUAGGGAAUCUUCGGCAAUGGACGAAAGUCUGACCGAGCAACGCCGCGUGAGUGAAGAAGGUUUUCGGAUCGUAAAACUCUGUUGUUAGAGAAGAACAGGAGAAGUAGUAACUGGCUUCUUUUUGACGGUAUCUAACCAGAAAGCCACGGCUAACUACGUGCCAGCCGCCGCCGUAACAC